GAUCUUCCAGAAGCAGGGCCGGGCCCUGGCGGCCAAGGCGGCCAAGGACGUGCGCAUCCUGGUGGUCGGCAACCCGUGCAACACGAACUGCCUGAUCGCCUACCGGAACGGCCGGGACAUCCCGGCGACCCAGUGGGGGGCCAUGACCCGGCUGGACCACAACCGGGCGGUCGGGGCCCUGGCCAAGAAGGCCGGCGUGCUGAACGAGGCCGUCACCUGCGUGACCAUCUGGGGGAACAACUCGAACACCCAGUUCCCGGACUUCACGAACGCCCGGAUCGGCGGGAAGCCGGCCACCCAGGUCAUCACUGACCGCGGCUGGCUGGAGACGGUGUUCGUCCCCCAGUGCCAGGAGCGGGGCAAGGCGG
This 368-nucleotide unclassified non-coding RNA is filed under the name plant metagenome. RNAcentral's name for it is "partial contains 5.8S ribosomal RNA, internal transcribed spacer 2, and large subunit ribosomal RNA". The record is from RNAcentral.